This is a non-coding RNA of Castor canadensis (American beaver), 393 nucleotides long. Lineage: Eukaryota; Metazoa; Chordata; Mammalia; Rodentia; Castoridae. The record is from the annotation of a RefSeq genome assembly.
CAGUUAGGACACAGCAUGGUCAUGUGGGUCCCUUUUCAGUUCGUAGGGCUUCUGCUGCUCUGGAUCCCAGGUGCCAGAUGUGACACCCAGAUGACCCAGUCUCCAUCCUCCCUGUCUGCAUCUCCAGGAGACAAAAUCACCAUCACUUGCAGGGCCAGUCAGGGCAUUAGCACAAAUUUACAGUGGUAUCAGCAGAAACCAGGGAAAGCUCCUAAGCUCCUGAUCUAUGGUGCUAACAAUUUGCAAUCUGGGGUCCCCUCAAGGUUCAGUGGCAGUGGAUCGGGAUCAGAUUUCACUCUUACCAUCAGCAGCCUGGAUCAUGAAGAUGUUGCAACUUAUUGCUGUCAACAGACUAAUAGUUACCCUCCCACAGUGAUACAAGUCAUAACAUAA